This 444-nucleotide ribosomal RNA is filed under the name uncultured bacterium. Its description in RNAcentral is "partial 16S ribosomal RNA". It matches the Rfam family "Bacterial small subunit ribosomal RNA", at positions 354 to 796 of the family's 1533-position model. The record is from RNAcentral.
GUGAGGAAUAUUGGACAAUGGGCGCAAGCCUGAUCCAGCCAUGCCGCGUGCAGGAAGACGCAUCUAUGGUGUGUAAACUGCUUUGUACGGGAAGAAACACUCCCUCGUGAGGGAGCUUGACGGUACCGUAAGAAUAAGGAUCGGCUAACUCCGUGCCAGCAGCCGCGGUAAUACGGAGGAUCCAAGCGUUAUCCGGAAUCAUUGGGUUUAAAGGGUCCGUAGGCGGUUUAAUAAGUCAGUGGUGAAAGCCCAUCGCUCAACGAAGGAACGGCCAUUGAUACUGUUAGACUUGAAUUACAAGGAAGUAACUAGAAUAUGUAGUGUAGCGGUGAAAUGCUUAGAUAUUACAUGGAAUACCAAUUGCGAAGGCAGGUUACUACUUGUGGAUUGACGCUGAUGGACGAAAGCGUGGGGAGCGAACAGGAUUAGAAACCCUGGUAGUCC